RNAcentral lists this ribosomal RNA (343 nucleotides) under Grosphus madagascariensis. Its description in RNAcentral is "partial large subunit ribosomal RNA". It matches the Rfam family "Archaeal large subunit ribosomal RNA", at positions 2045 to 2624 of the family's 2987-position model. Lineage: Eukaryota; Metazoa; Arthropoda; Arachnida; Scorpiones; Buthidae. The record is from RNAcentral.
UUAGUCUUAUAAUUUAAGACUGGGAUGAAGGAAAUAAUUAGAGAAUUACUUUCUUAAAGCUGUAUAAUAAACCUUACUUUUUAGUAAAAAGGCUAAAAUUAUCUUUUUAGACAAGAAGACCCUAUAAAGCUUCACAUAUACAAAUUUAAGAAAUUUUACUAUGUUUUGCUGGGGCGGUAAGAAAGUGGACGUUUCUUAAUUAAUUUAACUUAGAUGUUACGAUAACCAAAAAUUUUGAAGUAUAAAUAAGUUACUUUAGGGAUAACAGCGUAAUUUAUUUUGAAAGUUCUCAUUGACAAAUAAGUUUGCGACCUCGAUGUUGGAUUAAAGUACCUGUUCUGUG